CCUACGGGAGGCAGCAGUAGGGAAUAUUGCUCAAUGGGGGAAACCCUGAAGCAGCGACGCCGCGUGGGGGAUGAAGGUUUUCGGAUUGUAAACUCCUUUUGUUAGAGAAGAUAAUGACGGUAUCUGACGAAUAAGCACCGGCUAACUCCGUGCCAGCAGCCGCGGUAAUACGGAGGGUGCAAGCGUUACCCGGAUUUACUGGGCGUAAAGAGCGCGUAGGCGGGAUAGCAAGUCAGAUGUGAAAUCCUAUGGCUUAACCAUAGAACUGCUUUUGAAACUGUUAAUCUAGAGUGUGGGAGAGGUAGGUGGAAUUCUUGGUGUAGGGGUAAAAUCCGUAGAGAUUAAGAGGAAUACUCAUUGCGAAGGCGACCUGCUAGAACAUAACUGACGUUGAUGCGCGAAAGCGUGGGGAGCAAACAGGAUUAGAUACCCCUGUAGUC
This 440-nucleotide ribosomal RNA is filed under the name uncultured bacterium. RNAcentral's name for it is "partial 16S ribosomal RNA". It matches the Rfam family "Bacterial small subunit ribosomal RNA", at positions 338 to 795 of the family's 1533-position model. The record is from RNAcentral.